AGAGUUUGAUCCUGGCUCAGGACGAACGCUGGCGGCGUGCCUAAUACAUGCAAGUCGAGCGAAGUUUUUCUGGUGCUUGCACUAGAAAAACUUAGCGGCGAACGGGUGAGUAACACGUAAAGAACCUGCCUCAUAGACGGGGACAACUAUUGGAAACGAUAGCUAAUACCGGAUAACAGCAUAAAUCGCAUGAUAUAUGUUUAAAAGUUGGUUUCGGCUAACACUAUGAGAUGGCUUUGCGGUGCAUUAGCUAGUUGGUGGGGUAAAGGCCUACCAAGGCGACGAUGCAUAGCCGACCUGAGAGGGUGAUCGGCCACACUGGGACUGAGACACGGCCCAGACUCCUACGGGAGGCAGCAGUAGGGAAUCUUCCGCAAUGGGCGAAAGCCUGACGGAGCAACGCCGCGUGAGUGAAGAAGGAUUUCGGUUCGUAAAGCUCUGUUGUUAGGGAAGAAUGAUUGUAUAGUAACUAUAUACAGUAGAGACGGUACCUAACCAGAAAGCCACGGCUAACUACGUGCCAGCAGCCGCGGU
Molecule: ribosomal RNA, 534 nt
Filed under: unidentified oral bacterium AP60-23
Lineage: Bacteria
Description: bacterial SSU rRNA
Rfam family: Bacterial small subunit ribosomal RNA
Source: RNAcentral